AUUUAUUGAUAUUUUCAAGACAUUUUGAAAAGGUUAAGGUUCCCUUGCUUGUUAAUCUCUGGAAAUCGCGUUUAAGUUCCGGAUUUCAUUUCGGAUGUGACAGCAAACACACAUUUUCUCCACUGGCAGAUAAUUUAAAGCGCAGCCACUUUCUGAUUGUCAAAAACAAAAAAUAAAUCGUUACAGACCCAC
This is a long non-coding RNA of Caenorhabditis elegans, 192 nucleotides long. Ensembl annotates it as ncRNA. Its record names the gene linc-53. Lineage: Eukaryota; Metazoa; Nematoda; Chromadorea; Rhabditida; Rhabditidae. The record is from Ensembl.